Molecule: long non-coding RNA, 1262 nt
Filed under: Calidris pugnax (ruff)
Lineage: Eukaryota; Metazoa; Chordata; Aves; Charadriiformes; Scolopacidae
Description: lncRNA (ENSCPUG00000016970.1)
Source: RNAcentral
CGCCUUCACCUGCGCUUUGUCCGCACUUUCCCCGGUGCCCGCCGCCCCCCGGCUCGCUCGGCUGCAAAUAAAGGGGAGGAAAAGCCCCGAGUCGACCCCAGCCUCUCCACAAAAACGCUUUUUUGUGCAAGUUCCCAAAGAAAACGGUGUGCGGGGGGGGGAGGGUGCGUUGCACACGCACACCUUUCUCCAGAAAAAGUCUUUCGGGCUGUGCACCUGCACGUAAGAGAGAGAUUGGCGGCGGAGAAGCUGGAAGAGGCGCCAGCAGAUGUUCCGCGGCGGGUCCUUGCUGUAGCUAGGAGAGAAACCCGUGAAAUACCUCGCAGACCGCUAGGAAAUUCGGCCAGAACGAAUGUUUUUGGAAACGUUCGCGCUCCCCAACCCCGGCUUGGCAAUCUUCACCUGCUGGGUAUUUUCCUGCCGGAAGACGCUGUCUCCAGCCGCGCCCUGGGAUCGCCCCUGCUCGGAACGACUCCGAAACGAGGGACCGUCGCCCAGGGGGGAAAACUACGGGAAAAGCGGGGUUUGAAGCCUGCAGAUUUUUCCCCAAACGGGGACAAACAGGGGUGUCCGCCCCGGGGACUCGGGGGGGCUGAGACCGGCGGAGGCGCGGAGCUGCCCGGCAGAGGCUGACGGCGCCGCUGCCCGCUCGCCAUCCGGGCUGUCCCGGGGCCAGGGCCACCCCCUCAGGUGCCACCAGAGCCAUUUGGGGCCGCAGGGGCGAGGGGUUGCGAUUUCCCCCUCAUGCCCGCUGGAAAAGAAGGAUGUUUUCCUCUGCUGUUUAGCUUUCGUACUAAAGAUGUCAUCUGAAAGUCUGGGAGGGAGAGCCGUGUGCUCCGCUCUCUUCCACGGUAACAACCAUAUUCUGCAUAUUGAAAAAUAUUAUAGACAGUGGAGAAGGCUUCUUUUUUUUUUUUUAUCCCCUUAAAAAGAAAAAAAAAAAAAGAAAAGAAAAAAGAACCAACCUUUUCAAUAUUGAUUCAACAAAAAAAGAGAGGGAGAGAAUUUAAAAAGAGAAGAAGCAGCACCAGCAGCAGGGAGAAUAUAGGCUCAGCAACUCUCCAGGUUCGCUUCCUUAUUAUUACUAUCCAGGGGUAAUUUUUCAUCUCUGCUAGCUAAUCUUUGUUCCUUGUGAAGAUAAUGAAUAGCCCAAUCCUUAUCUCCUGGGCUCCUGGAGGCUGCUGGAGAAUGGGGUUGAACAGGGUUGAAAAUUGGUUCCAAAGUGCUGCUGAAUAAAUGGUGUUCCUUAUCUCUCGCUUCCA